RNAcentral lists this ribosomal RNA (1522 nucleotides) under uncultured bacterium. RNAcentral describes it as "partial 16S ribosomal RNA". It matches the Rfam family "Bacterial small subunit ribosomal RNA". The record is from RNAcentral.
AGAGUUUGAUCAUGGCUCAGAACGAACGCUGGCGGCGUGGCUAAGACAUGCAAGUCGAACGGACUAUACAAUUGAGUAAUCGAGAGUAUAGUUAGUGACGAAAGGGUUAGUAAUGGAUAGGUAACGUACCCCGAGCUUCGGAAUAGCGUCAGUUGCUUAGGCAACUUUCCGAAAGGGGCGGUAAUACCGGAUAAUAUCAUGAGUUGAUAGACACAUGAUCAAAGAUUUAUCGGCACGGGAGCGGCCUAUCUCCUAUCAGCUUGUUGGUGAGGUAAAAGCUCACCAAGGCUCUGACGGGUAGCGGGACUGAGAGGUUGACCCGCAACAUCGGGACUGAGACACUGCCCGGACCUCCACGGAGGGCUGCAGUAACGAAUAUUGCGCAAUGGGCGAAAGCCUGACGCAGCGACGCCGCGUGUGUGAAGAAGGCCUGCGGGUUGUAAAGCACUUUCAGUAGAGAAGAAAAGCUUAGGGUUAAUACCCCUGGGUCUUGACGUAACCUACAGAAGAAGCACCGGCUAACUCCGUGCCAGCAGCCGCGGUAAUACGGGGGGUGCAAGCGUUAAUCGGAAUUACUGGGCGUAAAGCGCGCGUAGGCGGUCUGGUCAGUCGGAUGUGAAAGCCCCGGGCUCAACCUGGGAAUUGCAUUCGAUACUGCCCGACUAGAAUAUGGAAGAGGGAAGUGGAAUUUCCGGUGUAGCGGUGAAAUGCGUAGAGAUCGGAAGGAACACCAGUGGCGAAGGCGGCUUCCUGGUCCAAUAUUGACGCUGAGGUGCGAAAGCGUGGGGAGCGAACAGGAUUAGAUACCCUGGUAGUCCACGCCGUAAACGAUGAGAACUAGAUGUCGGGAGGGUUUAGCCUUUCGGUGUCGCAGCUAACGCGUUAAGUUCUCCGCCUGGGGAGUACGGUGGCAACACUAAAACUCAAAGGAAUUGACGGGGACCCGCACAAGCGGUGGAGCAUGUGGUUUAAUUCGAUGCAACGCGAAGAACCUUACCUGCCCUUGACAUUGACAGAAUCCCGUAGAGAUAUGGGAGUGCUUCGGCCUGGAAAACAGGUGCUGCAUGGCUGUCGUCAGCUCGUGUCGUGAGAUGUUGGGUUAAGUCCCGCAACGAGCGCAACCCUUGUCCUUAGUUGCCAGCACGUAAUGGUGGGAACUCUAAGGAGACCGCCGGUGAUAAACCGGAGGAAGGUGGGGAUGACGUCAAGUCAUCAUGGCCCUUAUGGGCAGGGCUACACACGUGCUACAAUGGCCGGUACAGAGGGUUGCCAACCCGCGAGGGGGAGCUAAUCCCAGAAAGCCGGUCGUAGUCCGGAUUGGAGUCUGCAACUCGACUCCAUGAAGUCGGAAUCGCUAGUAAUCGCGAAUCAGCAUUGUCGCGGUGAAUACGUUCCCGGGUCUUGUACACACCGCCCGUCACACCAUGGAAGUAGGUUGCACCAGAAGUAGGUAGUCUAACCCUCGGGAGGACGCUUACCACGGUGUGGCUUAUGACUGGGGUGAAGUCGUAACAAGGUAACC